RNAcentral lists this transfer RNA (73 nucleotides) under Rhipicephalus microplus (southern cattle tick). Its description in RNAcentral is "tRNA-Lys". It matches the Rfam family "tRNA". Rfam says of the family: Transfer RNA (tRNA) molecules are approximately 80 nucleotides in length. Lineage: Eukaryota; Metazoa; Arthropoda; Arachnida; Ixodida; Ixodidae. The record is from Rfam by way of RNAcentral.
GCCCGGCUAGCUCAGUUGGUAGAGCAUGAGACUCUUAAUCUCAGGGUCGUGGAUCCGGGCCCCACAUUGGGCG